GGGUUUUGAAACAUUCCUAGAUAGACUAAAGCUCUGUUGCUUGGAUGUUGGGCUAACAAUUCAGGGAAACAAAGUUGAAGAAUUGCCAGAGCAGGUUUUAUGUUGUGUACGGUUAAAUGAAAUUGACUAUGCGAAUUAUCAGCAACUGGGGUUGGAAUAGAGAGCCCUUUGAAUUAGCUACUGCACAGACAUUGCAAAUAAAGAAGUAACUUAGAGAAGUUCAGUUGUCCCUCGCUUUUGGUUCCUAUCUCUGUCUGUCUCAUUUUAUCCCCGACUAUCAAAAUCUUCAAUGUCAGGAAGAUUACGAGUGUAGCAGGUUCAAUGGGAACUGUUAAGGAUGAUUCUCACAUUCAGAUUACCAUACAGAACCUCCUUGAACUUGCCUGUUUGGGGCCAACUCGUAUGCCACCUAGCGUUUUAUGACAUGAGUUCUGGACAAAUCAAUAGCUUACAUAAGCUAUAUAUGUGUAUGAAAUCAUGGACAACAUUGAGAUAC
This 496-nucleotide unclassified non-coding RNA is filed under the name Hevea brasiliensis (rubber tree). The record is from RNAcentral. Lineage: Eukaryota; Viridiplantae; Streptophyta; Magnoliopsida; Malpighiales; Euphorbiaceae.